GGGGCAGUGGUGACACCAACAUGCCAUCUCAGUGCCCGUCCUGGAAACCAGAGGCUGCUCCUGAGCUG
Molecule: non-coding RNA, 68 nt
Organism: Myotis brandtii (Brandt's bat)
Lineage: Eukaryota; Metazoa; Chordata; Mammalia; Chiroptera; Vespertilionidae
Source: Rfam